GGGUUGUGAGGUUAAGCGACUAAGCGUACACGGUGGAUGCCCUGGCAGUCAGAGGCGAUGAAGGACGUGCUAAUCUGCGAUAAGCGUCGGUAAGGUGAUAUGAACCGUUAUAACCGGCGAUUUCCGAAUGGGGAAACCCAGUGUGAUUCGUCACACUAUCAUUAACUGAAUCCAUAGGUUAAUGAGGCGAACCGGGGGAACUGAAACAUCUAAGUACCCCGAGGAAAAGAAAUCAACCGAGAUUCCCCCAGUAGCGGCGAGCGAACGGGGAGCAGCCCAGAGCCUGAAUCAGUGUGUGUGUUAGUGGAAGCGUCUGGAAAGGCGUGCGAUACAGGGUGACAGCCCCGUACACAAAAAUGCACAUAUUGUGAGCUCGAUGAGUAGGGCGGGACACGUGGUAUCCUGUCUGAAUAUGGGGGGACCAUCCUCCAAGGCUAAAUACUCCUGACUGACCGAUAGUGAACCAGUACCGUGAGGGAAAGGCGAAAAGAACCCCGGCGAGGGGAGUGAAAAAGAACCUGAAACCGUGUACGUACAAGCAGUGGGAGCACGCUUAGGCGUGUGACUGCGUACCUUUUGUAUAAUGGGUCAGCGACUUAUAUUCUGUAGCAAGGUUAACCGAAUAGGGGAGCCGAAGGGAAACCGAGUCUUAACUGGGCGUUAAGUUGCAGGGUAUAGACCCGAAACCCGGUGAUCUAGCCAUGGGCAGGUUGAAGGUUGGGUAACACUAACUGGAGGACCGAACCGACUAAUGUUGAAAAAUUAGCGGAUGACUUGUGGCUGGGGGUGAAAGGCCAAUCAAACCGGGAGAUAGCUGGUUCUCCCCGAAAGCUAUUUAGGUAGCGCCUCGUGAAUUCAUCUCCGGGGGUAGAGCACUGUUUCGGCAAGGGGGUCAUCCCGACUUACCAACCCGAUGCAAACUGCGAAUACCGGAGAAUGUUAUCACGGGAGACACACGGCGGGUGCUAACGUCCGUCGUGAAGAGGGAAACAACCCAGACCGCCAGCUAAGGUCCCAAAGUCAUGGUUAAGUGGGAAACGAUGUGGGAAGGCCCAGACAGCCAGGAUGUUGGCUUAGAAGCAGCCAUCAUUUAAAGAAAGCGUAAUAGCUCACUGGUCGAGUCGGCCUGCGCGGAAGAUGUAACGGGGCUAAACCAUGCACCGAAGCUGCGGCAGCGACGCUUAUGCGUUGUUGGGUAGGGGAGCGUUCUGUAAGCCUGUGAAGGUGUGCUGUGAGGCAUGCUGGAGGUAUCAGAAGUGCGAAUGCUGACAUAAGUAACGAUAAAGCGGGUGAAAAGCCCGCUCGCCGGAAGACCAAGGGUUCCUGUCCAACGUUAAUCGGGGCAGGGUGAGUCGACCCCUAAGGCGAGGCCGAAAGGCGUAGUCGAUGGGAAACAGGUUAAUAUUCCUGUACUUGGUGUUACUGCGAAGGGGGGACGGAGAAGGCUAUGUUGGCCGGGCGACGGUUGUCCCGGUUUAAGCGUGUAGGCUGGUUUUCCAGGCAAAUCCGGAAAAUCAAGGCUGAGGCGUGAUGACGAGGCACUACGGUGCUGAAGCAACAAAUGCCCUGCUUCCAGGAAAAGCCUCUAAGCAUCAGGUAACAUCAAAUCGUACCCCAAACCGACACAGGUGGUCAGGUAGAGAAUACCAAGGCGCUUGAGAGAACUCGGGUGAAGGAACUAGGCAAAAUGGUGCCGUAACUUCGGGAGAAGGCACGCUGAUAUGUAGGUGAAGUCCCUCGCGGAUGGAGCUGAAAUCAGUCGAAGAUACCAGCUGGCUGCAACUGUUUAUUAAAAACACAGCACUGUGCAAACACGAAAGUGGACGUAUACGGUGUGACGCCUGCCCGGUGCCGGAAGGUUAAUUGAUGGGGUCAGCGCAAGCGAAGCUCUUGAUCGAAGCCCCGGUAAACGGCGGCCGUAACUAUAACGGUCCUAAGGUAGCGAAAUUCCUUGUCGGGUAAGUUCCGACCUGCACGAAUGGCGUAAUGAUGGCCAGGCUGUCUCCACCCGAGACUCAGUGAAAUUGAACUCGCUGUGAAGAUGCAGUGUACCCGCGGCAAGACGGAAAGACCCCGUGAACCUUUACUAUAGCUUGACACUGAACAUUGAGCCUUGAUGUGUAGGAUAGGUGGGAGGCUUUGAAGUGUGGACGCCAGUCUGCAUGGAGCCGACCUUGAAAUACCACCCUUUAAUGUUUGAUGUUCUAACGUUGACCCGUGAUCCGGGUUGCGGACAGUGUCUGGUGGGUAGUUUGACUGGGGCGGUCUCCUCCUAAAGAGUAACGGAGGAGCACGAAGGUUGGCUAAUCCUGGUCGGACAUCAGGAGGUUAGUGCAAUGGCAUAAGCCAGCUUGACUGCGAGCGUGACGGCGCGAGCAGGUGCGAAAGCAGGUCAUAGUGAUCCGGUGGUUCUGAAUGGAAGGGCCAUCGCUCAACGGAUAAAAGGUACUCCGGGGAUAACAGGCUGAUACCGCCCAAGAGUUCAUAUCGACGGCGGUGUUUGGCACCUCGAUGUCGGCUCAUCACAUCCUGGGGCUGAAGUAGGUCCCAAGGGUAUGGCUGUUCGCCAUUUAAAGUGGUACGCGAGCUGGGUUUAGAACGUCGUGAGACAGUUCGGUCCCUAUCUGCCGUGGGCGCUGGAGAAUUGAGGGGGGCUGCUCCUAGUACGAGAGGACCGGAGUGGACGCAUCACUGGUGUUCGGGUUGUCAUGCCAAUGGCACUGCCCGGUAGCUAAAUGCGGAAGAGAUAAGUGCUGAAAGCAUCUAAGCACGAAACUUGCCCCGAGAUGAGUUCUCCCUGACUCCUUGAGAGUCCUGAAGGAACGUUGAAGACGACGACGUUGAUAGGCCGGGUGUGUAAGCGCAGCGAUGCGUUGAGCUAACCGGUACUAAUGAACCGUGAGGCUUAACCUUACAACGCCGAAGGUGUUU
Molecule: ribosomal RNA, 2931 nt
Filed under: Escherichia coli
Lineage: Bacteria; Pseudomonadati; Pseudomonadota; Gammaproteobacteria; Enterobacterales; Enterobacteriaceae
Description: 23S ribosomal RNA
Rfam family: Bacterial large subunit ribosomal RNA
Source: RNAcentral